UGCGUGCUGCUUUGGCGGCUGGCGUCCCCUGGGCCACUCUGUUUGGCUCUUCCUGACGCGGUGCUAAAAUCUUUCCUGUAAUAGUACCGCUGCAGCAGGAGAUCGAGUGACUGACAAAAAAGUGAACUAAGGAAAACGUUCUGGGGUUCUUAAAGCGUGCGUUAUGGUUUCUAGCUUCGAUUCCAAGCUUGCCGAUCAGGAGAGGCAGAAGAGAAUAGUUUAUCUCGAUAAUGGGGGAUAACAUCUGUACUUUCUUUGCAGUGUCGUCCUGAGGUUAUGAGCAAUGUUGCCAGAAGAUACGGUGCUUUCGAUCAGCUACCUUUAUUAUCGUUUCAAGGGUAAUGAGUCAAGCAGUAUGAUUCCUUCUGUGUUCACUACGCAGUACUUCAUGUGAGUCUCUUGAAGCAUUUCACAUGUUUGUUUCUUCUUAAGAGAUAUAGACAUGAAUGCUCAGCAUAUGCAUUUUGUUAACCCAGAAGAGCCUCUAGAAACUUUUCUGCGUCAUUUUGCAAGAUGAGGAUUUUUGUUACUUUUGAGAGAUAUGGUGGAUCUUUGACAUUUCUUUAGACUAAGACUAGGCAAGAUACAAAACAUUAUAAAAGUAGGAGGAUAGCUACUUAUGCUUGGUUCUGUUUCCGAUGCUUGCUUUUUAUAUUUAGUUUUUGACGUAAGUACAGGUAAAGAUGCUGCCUGUUUAUUGUUUGAUCCUGAAAAGGUUUUUGUUGUUUAUUUUACGCUAUCUUAAUUCAAAUUUCUGUGAAAGCUUUCAGGGACUUUUCCUGUAUACUCAUGGAGAUAAAGGACAGGAUUUUUGCCUGGCAUCACUUGGCUCUCUUCCUAAUUUAGCGCUAAGAAAAUUAACAUCCCUCAUCUCUAAGCCAUGA
RNAcentral lists this long non-coding RNA (884 nucleotides) under Struthio camelus australis. Its description in RNAcentral is "lncRNA (ENSSCUG00000000807.1)". Lineage: Eukaryota; Metazoa; Chordata; Aves; Struthioniformes; Struthionidae. The record is from RNAcentral.